UAAGUUCAGUUUUAGAGAGUAAUAUAUUUCUUAUUAUUUUGUUUGCUGUUUUUGCAUUGUUUUGUACUGUCGAGUAGGGCACAACUUGAAGCGUUGCACCUCCUCGAUGGAGUGCAGUUCUUUGACACCUCACGCUAAUAAGUUGUAACCGUUCUAUUCUAAUAUGCCUUGUUAAUUUGAGUGUGGUGUUGAUGUAGGUUGGGUUUUCUUCCAAGAACGCCAAUUACCGGAGAUGAGGGUUCAUCGGCAAUGGCGGUCUUCCAUUGAGCAGCUUCGAGCGAUGACAGCACUUGCUUGUAGGUCGUGGGUUUGAGCGGAACUAGAGCCAAGGAGUAAAGAGCGUAUUUCUUCGAAGGCGAAAGAGGAGGUUAUCGUCGAGGGAGUAAGAUGUCGGGAUUGUAAUUUUUAUUGGGAUCUUGAGGGAGAGGGACAUUCUUCGUAGAUUACUAUGAUAAGCAAUGUAGAGUACAGGCACCAUGCGGAGAGAUUGCAAAGCAUCAAGUGCUUCAUCAUGUAUAGAUUCAAUCAAAGGAGACCGCAGUUGAUAGCUCCAAGGUGGCCUAGAAUGAUGCCCAAUAUGGGGCAUAACUUUGAGGCCAGACCACACAUCCACAUAUAGGGGGGGAGAGUCUGGAUGUAAUUGUACCAAAUGGUGGAGAAAACCUUCAUGAUCAUCAAGCUAAUCAAUAUGCAGAGCAAGGUCUAGUGGCAGAAGAGUAGGUGAUGGAACUAGUGAUGUGGCCAGUGGCAAAUUGUUGGGAUUGAGUAGAUUAGAAGAAGCUGUCAGAGGCAACACUGUAUUGAGUUGGGACUGCAGCAACUACAUAGUCACUGAUGGUGAAGUAGGAGAAUUUGCAGGGAGUGGUAACAAGGAAAUAGUAGGCACAACAUCCUUGGACACAGAUUUUAAAAAGUCUAGAUUUAGUCUAUUAUUCCAAAAGAAUAAUGAAGAUACAAAUCAAAAGCUAGAGAGGGAGAUGCUGUAUGGCCAGAAGGUAGGCUCUCUUCCAGAAACACAACAUUGCAUGAUGUGAUCAUGGCUUUAGUUUGCACAUCUUUAAUUGACCUUGUAUACCAUUGUUUGCUAGGUACUGAUCAAAAUCAGAGGAGAAGUAUUCUCCUUCUUGAUCAAAACAGAGAGUACAAAUUAUAUAAUUAGUUUGUUUUUCUGCUGUUA
Molecule: long non-coding RNA, 1177 nt
Organism: Physcomitrium patens
Lineage: Eukaryota; Viridiplantae; Streptophyta; Bryopsida; Funariales; Funariaceae
Source: RefSeq, a predicted model, not a curated record